RNAcentral lists this ribosomal RNA (367 nucleotides) under uncultured Bacillus sp. RNAcentral's name for it is "bacterial SSU rRNA". It matches the Rfam family "Bacterial small subunit ribosomal RNA", at positions 962 to 1327 of the family's 1533-position model. The record is from RNAcentral. Lineage: Bacteria; Bacillati; Bacillota; Bacilli; Caryophanales; Bacillaceae.
CGAAGAACCUUACCAGGUCUUGACAUCNUCUGACAACUCUAGAGAUAGAGCGUUCCCCUUCGGGGGACAGAGUNACAGGUGGUGCAUGGUUGUCGUCAGCUCGUGUCGUGAGAUGUUGGGUUAAGUCCCGCAACGAGCGCAACCCUUGAUNUUAGUUGCCAGCAUUUAGUUGGGCACUCUAAGGUGACUGCCGGUGACAAACCGGAGGAAGGUGGGGAUGACGUCAAAUCAUCAUGCCCCUUAUGNCCUGGGCUACACACGUGCUACAAUGGAUGGUACAAAGGGCUGCAAGACCGCGAGGUCAAGCCAAUCCCAUAAAACCAUUCUCAGUUCGGAUUGUAGNCUGCAACUCGCCUAGCAUGAAGNU